CUGGACAAAUGGGAACGACUGACUGUGGCCGAUGCCCUAGAACCCGUCCAGUUUGAAGACGGAGAAAAAAUCGUGGUGCAGGGAGAACCAGGGGAUGACUUUUUCAUCAUCACGGAGGGUACGGCAUCUGUCCUUCAGCGCAGGUCCGCUAAUGAGGAGUAUGUGGAAGUUGGGCGGCUCGGGCCAUCAGAUUACUUCGGAGAGAUAGCCGUUUUGCUGAACCGGCCCCGGGCUGCCACCGUGGUGGCCCGCGGGCCCCUGAAGUGUGUCAAGCUGGACCGGCCUCGUUUUGAGCGAGUACUCGGCCCAUGUUCGGAAAUCCUCAAGCGGAACAUCCAGAGAUACAACAGUUUCAUUUCUCUCACUGUUUAAGUUCUUUCUGUCUGGGGUUUACUGCCUUUACGUUAAAACUUGUGCACUUAAAAAGAAAAAAGUUGACCCAUGCCGUUCCAUAGCUUUAUGAAGAAAACAGGAUGUGUUGCAUUUUAUGUAUUUUAUUUUGUUUCAAAUGUUCAUGUCGCUGGAUGUCCGAUUUUUAUGUACCAUUAAAGAGGGCAGACAACAGAGAUCUGGAAGCAUGUGGCUUUGGGGAGCCAUUGGGUUAAUUUAAAUUGCAUUCCAGAUGGUCACUCUCACCUGGACCCCAAAAUGUUGUACGUAAACAAAUAAUAAAUAAAGGCCACAGGGGUAUCUAGUGCAGCAUUGAUUUGAACAAGGUCUGCUAAAAAGCCAGCAACUAGUUUGUCAAACUGGAAAAAAAGAGAAGACAUAGCCUAUGGGGAG
Molecule: long non-coding RNA, 783 nt
Organism: Gekko japonicus
Lineage: Eukaryota; Metazoa; Chordata; Lepidosauria; Squamata; Gekkonidae
Exons: 3
Source: RefSeq, a predicted model, not a curated record